This 427-nucleotide ribosomal RNA is filed under the name uncultured bacterium. RNAcentral's name for it is "partial 16S ribosomal RNA". It matches the Rfam family "Bacterial small subunit ribosomal RNA", at positions 355 to 774 of the family's 1533-position model. The record is from RNAcentral.
UGGGGAAUAUUGGACAAUGGGCGAAAGCCUGAUCCAGCCAUGCCGCGUGUGUGAAGAAGGUCUUCGGAUUGUAAAGCACUUUAAGUUGGGAGGAAGGGCAUUAACCUAAUACGUUAGUGUUUUGACGUUACCGACAGAAUAAGCACCGGCUAACUCUGUGCCAGCAGCCGCGGUAAUACAGAGGGUGCAAGCGUUAAUCGGAAUUACUGGGCGUAAAGCGCGCGUAGGUGGUUUGUUAAGUUGGAUGUGAAAUCCCCGGGCUCAACCUGGGAACUGCAUUCAAAACUUACUGACUAGAGUAUGGUAGAGGGUGGUGGAAUUUCCUGUGUAGCGGUGAAAUGCGUAGAUAUAGGAGGGAACACCAGUGGCGAAGGCGACCACCUGGACUAAUACUGACACUGAGGUGCGAAAGCGUGGGGAGCAAACA